This 407-nucleotide ribosomal RNA is filed under the name Papuina mendana. RNAcentral describes it as "partial 16S ribosomal RNA". It matches the Rfam family "Archaeal large subunit ribosomal RNA", at positions 1903 to 2654 of the family's 2987-position model. Lineage: Eukaryota; Metazoa; Mollusca; Gastropoda; Stylommatophora; Camaenidae. The record is from RNAcentral.
CAAAAACAUAGCAUUGAUGAAAUGAUAUUUUGUGAGUUCUGCUCAAUGAGUAUUAAAUAGCCGCAGUACUCUGACUGUGCAAAGGUAGCAUAAUCAGUUGGCUUAUAAUUGAAGUCUGGCAUGAAUGAAUUCAUGGGGAGCAACUAUAUGGGGUGUUUCACGUAAACUUACUGAGUAGGUGAAAAUUCCUACAGAUAAAUAAAAGACGAGAAGACCCUAGAAAUUUAUUGUUGUAUAAUUUUGUUGGGGCAACAAUGUACCAAAUAAAGUACAUACAUAACCAUGGCACUUUUAUGUUGUAUGAUUAAAUUACUCUAGGGAUAACAGCAUAAUUUUUGCAAAGGUUGUGACCUCGAUGUUGGACUAGGGAUUUAUCUCUUAGAUAGAGCCUAAACUUSCUCUGUUCG